GACGAAGGGGGCUAGCGUUGUUCGGAAUUACUGGGCGUAAAGGGCUCGUAGGCGGCCAACUAAGUCAGACGUGAAAUCCCUCGGCUUAACCGGGGAACUGCGUCUGAUACUGGAUGGCUUGAGGUUGGGAGAGGGAUGCGGAAUUCCAGGUGUAGCGGUGAAAUGCGUAGAUAUCUGGAGGAACACCGGUGGCGAAGGCGGCAUCCUGGACCAAUUCUGACGCUGAGGAGCGAAAGCCAGGGGAGCAAACGGG
RNAcentral lists this ribosomal RNA (253 nucleotides) under uncultured bacterium. RNAcentral describes it as "partial 16S ribosomal RNA". It matches the Rfam family "Bacterial small subunit ribosomal RNA", at positions 524 to 776 of the family's 1533-position model. The record is from RNAcentral.